RNAcentral lists this ribosomal RNA (253 nucleotides) under uncultured bacterium. Its description in RNAcentral is "partial 16S ribosomal RNA". It matches the Rfam family "Bacterial small subunit ribosomal RNA", at positions 524 to 776 of the family's 1533-position model. The record is from RNAcentral.
UACGUAGGCAGCAAGCGUUGUUCGGAGUUACUGGGCGUAAAGGGUGCGUAGGCGGCUCUAUAAGUUUGGUGUGAAAUCUCCCGGCUCAACCGGGAGGGUGCGCCGAAAACUGGGGGACUCGAGUGCGGGAUGGGAGAGUAGAAUUCCUGGUGUAGCGGUGAAAUGCGUAGAUAUCAGGAGGAAUACCGGUGGUGUAGACGGCUCUCUGGACCGCCACUGACGCUGAGACACGAAAGCGUGGGUAGCAAACAGG